Molecule: ribosomal RNA, 1008 nt
Filed under: uncultured prokaryote
Description: bacterial SSU rRNA
Rfam family: Bacterial small subunit ribosomal RNA
Source: RNAcentral
GAUCGGGCUAUCUGCAGUCGAGCGAUGAUGAGGAGCUUGCUCCUCUGAUUUAGCGGCGGACGGGUGAGUAACACGUGGGUAAUCUGCCUGUAAGACGGGGAUAACUCCGGGAAACCGGGGCUAAUACCGGAUAAUAAAAAGAAAAGCAUUUUUUCUUUUUGAAAGUCGGUUUCGGCUGACACUUACAGAUGAGCCCGCGGCGCAUUAGCUAGUUGGUGAGGUAACGGCUCACCAAGGCGACGAUGCGUAGCCGACCUGAGAGGGUGAUCGGCCACACUGGGACUGAGACACGGCCCAGACUCCUACGGGAGGCAGCAGUAGGGAAUCUUCGGCAAUGGGCGAAAGCCUGACCGAGCAACGCCGCGUGAGCGAUGAAGGCCUUCGGGUCGUAAAGCUCUGUUGUUAGAGAAGAACAAGUACGAGAGUAACUGCUCGUACCUUGACGGUACCUAACCAGAAAGCCACGGCUAACUACGUGCCAGCAGCCGCGGUAAUACGUAGGUGGCAAGCGUUAUCCGGAAUUAUUGGGCGUAAAGCGCGCGCAGGCGGUCUCUUAAGUCUGAUGUGAAAGCCCACGGCUCAACCGUGGAGGGUCAUUGGAAACUGGGAGACUUGAGUGCAGGAGAGAAAAGUGGAAUUCCACGUGUAGCGGUGAAAUGCGUAGAGAUGUGGAGGAACACCAGUGGCGAAGGCGGCUUUUUGGCCUGUAACUGACGCUGAGGCGCGAAAGCGUGGGGAGCAAACAGGAUUAGAUACCCUGGUAGUCCACGCCGUAAACGAUGAGUGCUAGGUGUUGGGGGGUUCCACCCUCAGUGCUGAAGUUAACACAUUAAGCACUCCGCCUGGGGAGUACGACCGCAAGGUUGAAACUCAAAGGAAUUGACGGGGGCCCGCACAAGCAGUGGAGCAUGUGGUUUAAUUCGAAGCAACGCGAAGAACCUUACCAGGUCUUGACAUCCUCUGACCACUCUAGAGAUAGAGCUUUCCCCUUCGGGGGACAGAGUGACA